GGAGAGGUGGCCGAGUGGUUUAAGGCGCACGCUUGGAAAGCGUGUGUAGGGGAAACCUUACCGGGGGUUCGAAUCCCCCCCUCUCCGCCA
This 90-nucleotide transfer RNA is filed under the name Acidobacteriota bacterium. RNAcentral's name for it is "tRNA-Ser". It matches the Rfam family "tRNA". Rfam says of the family: Transfer RNA (tRNA) molecules are approximately 80 nucleotides in length. Their secondary structure includes four short double-helical elements and three loops (D, anti-codon, and T loops). Further hydrogen bonds mediate the characteristic L-shaped molecular structure. tRNAs have two regions of fundamental functional importance: the anti-codon, which is responsible for specific mRNA codon recognition, and the 3' end, to which the tRNAs corresponding amino acid is attached (by aminoacyl-tRNA synthetases). tRNAs cope with the degeneracy of the genetic code in two manners: having more than one tRNA (with a specific anti-codon) for a particular amino acid; and 'wobble' base-pairing, i.e. permitting non-standard base-pairing at the 3rd anti-codon position. The record is from RNAcentral. RNAcentral also lists the same sequence under 1 other name. Lineage: Bacteria; Pseudomonadati; Acidobacteriota.